UCGCAUUCUCGACCACCAA
This 19-nucleotide small nuclear RNA is filed under the name Arabidopsis thaliana (thale cress). Its description in RNAcentral is "snRNA_15120". The record is from RNAcentral. Lineage: Eukaryota; Viridiplantae; Streptophyta; Magnoliopsida; Brassicales; Brassicaceae.